This 835-nucleotide small RNA is filed under the name Drosophila mojavensis. RNAcentral describes it as "GI26842". The record is from RNAcentral. Lineage: Eukaryota; Metazoa; Arthropoda; Insecta; Diptera; Drosophilidae.
GCGGUGCUUUUCUGUCUGUGUAAUGUGGAAUCUAAGCACAGCCAAGUGGAACGCAUUAUCAAUGGUGAAAAUGCAAAACCCAAACAAUUUCCUUAUCAAGUUUUUUAUGAUGUUGAAGUAAGAAAACAAUGGAAACCGAACUGAGGUGGAACUAUAAUCGGUAAGAAGACGAUUCUGACAGCAGCUCAUUGCUUGGAUGGCACCGAAAGGAUAAAAAUUUACCUUGGAGCCGUGGAUAAAAGUAAUAGCACAGAAACUGGACAACAAAUUGUGAUCGUGGAAGCUGGCAGUUAUGUGAUUCAUGAAGAGUAUAAUUUUAUCAAUAUCGUCAACGAUAUAGCUUUAAUUAAACUACCAAAUGAUCUGGAGUUCAACCAGUAUAUUCAACCAGCUAAAUUGCCAGAACCCAAUAGCCUUCAUGUACACAAAAAUGCUAUUGUCUCCGGUUGGGGCAGAGUUAAAGGUUUCGUAACAACUGAGCAUUUGCAAUAUACGAAUGUGAAAACAUUAUCAAAUGAGGAAUGCAAGAGUAUGAUCCCUUCUGAUAAUAAGUUUUAUUCACAUUGGCUAUGUGUUGCACCUAAUGAGAAAAGGACGUGCAAAGGAGACUCUGGUGGUCCAUUAGCCGAAAGAAACCCUGAUGGCUCUAGCACCGUGAUUGGUAUCGUAUCGUUUGGAUUUGGCCCUUGCCUUUCAAACUUUCCCACUGUUUUUACUCGGGUUGCAUACUUCCUAACCUGGAUCGCUGAACACAUCAACGAGCCCUAAAUAUUCUUUACGACAAUCAUGAAUAUUAAAUAACAAUAUAUACCAAAUAAAAUCUGCAUGAACUUUA